CCUCGCUACCUCGGGAGGAUGUGACGUAAGAGCUUCCGUCAACAUGGCGGCAAAACCAAACGCUGCUAGACAAGUCUGAACGCAUAUGCCCCUGUUGACAUCGGUGCUUGUGCAUCGUAUUCUUUGAAUUUAAAAUGGCUCACCUGUGGCAGCAACCUUAUGUGAACGUUUUUAAGCAUUUCAAUGUAUCAUCAUGGAAGAAAGCAUUGAAAGAAGGGGAUGUGAGCACCUUGAUGGACAAAACAGUGAAGGCAACGGUGUACAAGAUUAGUGGACACAUACCAGCUGGUAACUAUAUUCAGCUGCCACGCAUGAGUUCACAGUCCCUGGGAUUGACAGGUCGUUAUUUUUACCUGCUGUUUCGUCCAGUGCCAACAAAAUACUUUGUAGUCCACGUUGAUGUUGCAACUCAGGAUGGCCUUGUUGUGCGUCUCUCAUUUUCUAACCUCUUCAAGGAGUUCAAAUCCACAGCUACGUGGCUUCAGUUUCCAUUUUUGUGCAAUCCAGCGAAGGAUUCUGUAGCUUUCUUUGCUGCUGUUGGUGCACGAGAACAUAUUGGACCAGCCCCAUCUUCAACAAGGUGGACAGUCUUGUGCUUGGAUUUACAGUACAUCCUUUCCACAUACCUGAGUCGGAGGUACUCCUACGUCAGAAGUAUCCGACUGUGUGCCAACAUGCUAGUUAAAAAUGUUUUCACCAGUGAUAUUGUUUAUGAUCCAGAUAUCUCUAUGGCUGAUGCCAAGAAGAGAGGUGGUAAUGUCUCACCACUGCCAAGAGAUUUUGGCUUUCCUGUUCAGAAGGGAGAGACUUGGCAUGAUAUAUAUGACCUGAUUAGGUUUCCACCUGAAGGUGACAGAAAACCUUUUGAUUCUGUACAGUAUACUGUCGGUGGCAUCGAUGACAACGUAGAUGAGAACAUUGAAAACCACCCACAAAGAAUCAGACCACACCCACAGAAUGUUAGUAAAUGUGUAUCAGAACGAGUUUCAAUGAUACACAAGUUAACUGAACCAAAACAGUAUCACAGGAAGCAGCUUGUUACAAAAGAAUUGCCAGAGAUUGAGGCUGAUGCCUUGACAGUGCCAGACCCGUCAAAUGUGCACAUAUUUGCACAUCCCAUUGACUUAGAGGAUGAGGCACUGGCAAGUUCAAAAGGGCCAAAGAAAAGUACACAUAAGGUUUCAGCUCAUUUGCAUCUGACUAUGGGAAAAACAAAGUGCAAGGUUUUGGAGCCAGACCCAAUUAUAACAUUGAAGCAUAUUAUUGGAUUUGGCGGCGGCACAUUCCGAGAUGCUCUGUGGAGUAGUGACCGAUCGACUGUCAUCUAUCCAUGCCAUGCAGUAAUAGUGGCCAUGCGCAUAAGCAAUGGCCAUCAACGCUUCUUCAUUGGACACACUGGCAAGGUAUCUUGCCUGUCGAUGAAUAGCAGUGGCACACUAUUGGCCUCAGGACAAACAGGACAGAUGGGUGUUGUUCGGGUGUGGAAGUAUCAAGGCUGUGAAUGCCUGGCCAUCUGCAGAACACAUGCUAAUUCUCUCUACUGCCUCAGUUUUUCAUGUAGUGGAAAUGUUUUGUGUGGAGUGGGAAAAGACAGUCAUGGAAAAAAUUUAGUGGUGAUUUGGAACACGAGCUCUGUGUUGAAGAAGCGGGAGAUCAGCAUUGUAGCCAAGGCUCAUACAGAUGUUGAUGUUUCAAAAAUCACCAUCUCACCAUUCGAUGAGACCAGGAUGGUAUCGUGUGGACGAGAUAACAUAAGACUUUGGCGGGUCAAGGAUGGUACAUUGCGUUCAGCACCCAUUAGUCUGGGAGACCACCACUCCAUGGAUUUCACAGAUGUUUGUUUUGACACAGGGGUCCAAGCUAACCAAAACCCUGAAAGGAGACUUAUUUAUGCCUGCUGUCGGUCAGGCCAUGUGUUUGAAAUUGACUACCAAAAAAUGGCUGUGCUACAUGUUCGACGAUUGCUACCCACAGCUACUAAGAAGAAAGAUCAAGCAAGCAACAAAGCAGAUUCUUUGCAGAGAGGAUUGGUUAUUAACAGCAUUAGCAUCAGUGAGACAUUCUGUGUCACUGGCUCAGAUGAUGGAUUUCUGCGGUUAUGGCCACUGGAUUUUGCACAUGUUUACCUCGAAGCUGAGCAUGAUGGAGCAGUGACAUCAGUUAACUUGUCUGCUGAUGGCCUAAAAAUAUUAGCUGGCACUUCUACAGGUAAUCUGGGCAUACUAGAUGUUGCGACACGAGACUACACGACCAUCAUGCGUUCACACACAUCCCGCAUCAUGAGUGCUGCGAUGGAUCCAUUUAGCAAGCAUUUAGCCACAGUGUCAAAAGAUCAUAGCAUUCGAGUCUGGGAUGCUGAAACUUUUCAGCAGCUGUAUGACUUUAGUGCUCCAAAUGAGUCACCAAGCACCAUAAGUUAUCACCCCAUCAACCAGAUAUUUGCCUGUGGCUUUGAAAGUGGGGCAGUACGUGUCUUUGAUGUGGAGUCUACCUGCCUCAUAGCAGAACACAAACCACACCGAGGGGCAUUGACAGGUGUUGUCUUCUCUCCUAAUGGGGAAUAUCUGUACAGUGCAUGCUCUCAGGGCAUGCUGGCGGCAUAUUGUGCUGCUGAUUCCAAGUUCUCCAUCAUCAGAGUGCUGGCCAAUACAGUAGCCAGGGGAAUGCACUUUGCCCCUGAUGCCUUAGCAGUCAGCAGCUGUGGGAGAAAACUGGCCUUUGUGGGUCCUUCUGAUUUCAUUGUGACAGUCAUGGAUGCUAAAUAUCUCAGUGAGCUGCUGCGAGUGGACAUUACUAGCAUGGCAUCAGGUGAUGUGGGACAAGGGGGUCUUGACACUGCUGUACGAGUAAUGUUCACUCCAGCCAGCGUUGGUCAUCUGCUGGUGGCAACCUCUUCAAACCGACUUGUCAAACUUGAUGCAGCCAGCGGUAAACUUUUUGCUGAGGUGAACAAUAUUCACAGAUCUGGCUGCAGUUCAUUAGCAAUAUCAUGCAAUGGAAAUUAUCUGGUUACUUCUGGAGAUAAAGUGCUCAAAGUCUGGGAUUACCACAUGCACCUGGACAUUAAUUUUCAGGUUUUCAUUGGCCAUUCAGAGACUGCAUCCAAAGUGUUUUUCACACCAGAUGAACGCUCCAUCAUAAGCGCAGGGGAAGCUGUAUACAUUUGGAAUAACCUGGCUGUCCGACCAGUGACAUCACAUGAAGACUGGAAGAUUGAUGCUGAUAAAAUGUCUGCCUUAGAUGCCAUGUUUGUGGACAACACAUCAACUGACAUGCCAAGGCAUACUCCACCACGUCCCAUGCUAGCUCCCAGCCUGUCUACUCGCAUUGAGGAUCUCAGCUCCAUACAUGGUGGUGACCUAGAUCUUAAGUCCUUGCUGUCAGAAGAAGACAUGCCAAUGGGGUCACCUGAUGCUGGCAAAGUUGGAUGGGAAGGCAGUUCACAAAAUGUUCCACUUAGUCAUGAGAAGAAUUAUGUUUUUGAAUCCCCUGUGAAGGAUACAUUGAAUGAAUGUGCACAGAAGUUUGGAGAAGUGUCGCUGAACAGAGUCAAAAGCACUAAGUUUGAGAAACACUCACCACAUAAGCCAAAGACACAAACCAGUCAUGUACGAACUUUGGAAGAGAAGCCACAGAAGGUCACUACCAUGGAAAAAACCCCAGAAGCCAUAGCUCCAUCAUGCAGCAGGCAUUUCAAGGCCACAAUUAAGAGUCAUGCCAUGGCCCGGCGUCGGUACACAGCUCCCCCUCAUCAAGCUGGUCUACGACUUAGCUUUGUCAUUGGCUACAAUGGAAAUGGGCGUGACAACAUGAUUUGGUGUCCAGACACAGGUCUCUUUGCCUACACCAGUGGCAGUAUUGUUGUGGUUGAAGAUUUGAACACAGGCCAGCAGACACACCUCCAAGGUCACCAAGAGGAAGUGUCCACACUGGCUGUACAAAAUGAUUGUCGGGUAAUAGCAUCCGCUAGUGGAUCCUUUGGUCAGUUUAGCAGCUGUCAGGUGUGUGUGUGGGAUGUAGCAGAUGCUGUCUGCAAAAAGGUCCUUAAUCCCCACCAUCAUCAGGUUGUCUGCAUGGCAUACUCUCGAGAUGACCGAUUUCUACUGACUGUUGGCGACUAUCAUGAAAGCAAGGUGAUAGUUUGGUCCACACAUACAUACACCAUGCUUACCAGCUCAAAGACAGCUGCACCUAUCCACUGCAUCAAAUGGGAUCCGACUGCAGUGAACGAAUUUGCCACUGUGGGAGAAGAUGGCAGCCUCUGCUUUUGGUUGUUGGAUGAAACGGACAGUGAGGCAGGGCUGUCUGUCCAUGAGGCUGAGGUUCCAGAUGAGUUGCUGAAUCAGGAGAUGGAUGGAGAAGUGGCUUUUACAAACUUGGAGUAUACAUGUGACAGUACUUUGUUUGUGUCUGCAACGAAUGGCAAAGUGUCAGCCUGGGACACCCGACACAAUUCCUGCUAUAUGCACUGGGAUGCGGAUACAGCUGAAAUAGGCAUUCUGUUAGUUGGGACAGGGGGUCUAAUAACAGCCAGCAGUUCGGGGAAUGUUCGGUUAUGGUCAGUGAAGGGAGUAGAGCAGAUGAGAGAGCCUGGACAUGCUGGACGGGCACCUGCGGGCAGAGGGCUAGUAAUGGAGGAUGAAAUGACGCUGGAUGGGGUGGUGACAGCUGCUCGCUUUGAUGAGAAUCUGGAAAUGGGCAUUGUUGGCACCAGUGCUGGGACACUGUGGUACAUCAACUGGACGGAGCGCACAAGCAUAAGGCUCAUCUCAGGACAUGGAAAGAAGGUAACAGCAAUUGCCAUGACAACAGGUGGACUGAUGGCUACUGGCUCUGAAGAUGGCAGCUUGCGAGUGUGGGUUUUACAAAAUAAAGAGCAGGCCUUGCAGUUCCAGGUGAAAGACCAGAAAUGCAGCAGUGUUGCCUUUGCUCCUGCCAUUCAGCAGCACGCAAAAUUCCAAAACAGUGCUGAUGCUACAGCUCAGGGUCAAGUGGUUCCACCCUUGGCAGCUGGGUACUCGGAUGGUACUGUGCGGGUGUUUGAUGUCAACUCUGUUCAGAUGCAGCUGAAAUUAAGACCUCAUUCUGCAGCUGUUACUGUCAUCAGGUUUUCCUCAGAUGGAAGCUUGAUCCUGUCAGGAGCUAGUGAUGGGUUAAUUGCCAUCAGCAGCCCCACAAGCGGGAUGACUGUGCGGGUCAUUAGUGAUCACCAAGGAGCUCCUAUCACCGACAUUGAUGUUGCUCCCUUGCAGAUCGAUGAUGGAGAUCACAAGUUUCAAUCAGCUCAGCUGUGGCUGGCUUGCAGUGGGGACCGAAGGGUCAGCAUCUGGUCAUCUGAUUGGGGUCGUGAUGUGUGUGACCCCAUAGACUGGUUGACUUUUCCUGCACCUGCCUGCACGCCAGAGGGAGAGCCAAUCAAAGGCAAAACUCCGGUUCUCACCUGAGGAACCAGACAUCAUAGUAUACACUGGCUAUGGCAUGAACAAAGGCAUACAGUUCUACAGUCUUUCUCAUCGCAGGGUAAUGAGAACAAUGUCACUGACUCACUGGGCUUGUUGCUUCGAUCUGUCUCCUGUUAGCCCUCUCAUCGCUGUUGGUGUUCGUG
This 5605-nucleotide unclassified non-coding RNA is filed under the name Pomacea canaliculata. RNAcentral describes it as "wD repeat-containing protein 90-like, transcript variant X3". The record is from RNAcentral. Lineage: Eukaryota; Metazoa; Mollusca; Gastropoda; Architaenioglossa; Ampullariidae.